CCAAAUCGUCAUCUUGUGGUGCCUUAACUAGGAUCUGUAGGUCACCUUCUGGGACUAUAACAUCUAACUCUCCAUAGAUAUCAUCUUGAGGGAGAGUAAUAGCCAUUGAGUUCAUCAUAUCAGUAGUAUGUGGGGCCUUUAUCUUUUAGAAUAGUUCUCUAGCUAGCUGGCAGUCAUACCUGGUCUCCUUUCUUUUCCAUGAGCAUGCGGGAAGGUCAGAUCUUUGAUCAUCUUCUUGAGUUGGACUAAGGAGUUUGGAGGUGGAUGAGCUUAAUGGAGAUAUGGAAAAGGACAG
Molecule: long non-coding RNA, 295 nt
Filed under: Capsicum annuum
Lineage: Eukaryota; Viridiplantae; Streptophyta; Magnoliopsida; Solanales; Solanaceae
Description: long non-coding RNA (CANN_LNC016849)
Source: RNAcentral